Molecule: non-coding RNA, 389 nt
Organism: Pelobates cultripes (western spadefoot toad)
Lineage: Eukaryota; Metazoa; Chordata; Amphibia; Anura; Pelobatidae
Source: the annotation of a GenBank genome assembly
CAGACACAUUACUGGGAGUAUUAUUGCUGUGGAGCUCUGUUAUACACUCAGACACAUUACUGGGAGUAUUAUUGCUGUGGGGCUCUGUUAUACACUCAGACACAUUACUGGGAGUAUUAUUACUGUGGAGCUCUGUUAUACACUCAGACACAUUACUGGGAGUAUUAUUGCUGUGGAGCUCUGUUAUACACUCAGACACAUUACUGGGAGUAUUAUUGCUGUGGAGCUCUGUUAUACACUCAGACACAUUACUGGGAGUAUUAUUGCUGUGGAGCUCUGUUAUACACUCAGACACAUUACUGGGAGUAUUAUUGCUGUGGGGCUCUGUUAUACACUCAGACACAUUACUGGGAGUAUUAUUGCUGUGGAGCUCUGUUACACACUCAGAC